Molecule: ribosomal RNA, 1527 nt
Filed under: Triticum aestivum (bread wheat)
Lineage: Eukaryota; Viridiplantae; Streptophyta; Magnoliopsida; Poales; Poaceae
Description: partial small subunit ribosomal RNA
Source: RNAcentral
AUGCCCAAGCCCCACCAAGCCUCGCCAGCGCCGCCGACGCCGCUCCCGCUCCCGCUCUCCAUCCUCCCGCCGCGGAGCUGCCCGCUCGCCACCGCGCUGCUGGCGCUGCUCUCGCUGCUCCUCGCCACCGCGCUGUGGCUCGUGCUCGUGCUGUCCCCGGCCCAGGCCCCCGUGGCGUCCUCCUCCUCCGCGCUGUCCUACGCGGCGGCGGCGGAUGAGGCGCUCUCCUCUGGCGACGCGGCCUCCCCACUCUCGCUCGCCCACAUCGUCUUCGGGAUCGCGGGCUCCGCGCACCUCUGGCCGCGCCGCCGCGAGUACGUCCGCCUCUGGUGGGAUCCCGCCUCUAUGCGCGGCAACGUCUGGCUCGACGCCAGCGCGCCCGGAGCGCCGGGCCCCAGCGCUGCCGGGGAGGACUCGCUCCCGCCGAUCCGGGUGUCCGAGGACACCUCGCGCUUCCGGUACACCAACCCGACGGGCCACCCUUCUGGGCUCCGGAUCGCGCGCAUCGCUGCCGAGGCCGUGCGGCUCGUGGGGGGUGGGGGCGCGCGGUGGGUGGUGCUCGUGGACGACGACACCGUGCUGUCCCCGGACAACCUGGUGGCGGUGCUCGGGAAGUACGACUGGAGAGAGAUGGUGUACGUCGGGGCCCCGUCGGAGAGCCACUCGGCCAACACCUAUUUCAGCCACGGUAUGGCGUUCGGAGGCGGAGGCGUCGCGCUCAGCUUCCCCCUCGCCGCUGCGCUCGCGCGGACACUAGACGUGUGCAUCGAGAGGUACCCCAGGCUGUAUGGAAGCGACGACCGCCUCCAUGCUUGCAUCACGGAGCUUGGCGUGCCCCUUUCCCGCGAACAUGGAUUCCAUCAGUGGGAUAUCAGAGGCAAUGCCCAUGGUAUAUUGGCUGCUCAUCCAAUUGCUCCUUUCAUCAGUAUCCACCAUGUGGAGUUUGUGGAUCCUAUAUAUCCUGGAUUGAACUCUCUUGAGAGCUUGGAGCUUUUUACGAAGGCUAUGAAAAUAGAACCCAUGAGCUUCUUGCAGCGCUCAGUUUGUUAUGAUAAGAGGCAGAAGCUUACACUAGCCAUCUCUUUGGGUUAUGUUGUUCAAGUGUACCCCAGUGUUCUUCUUCCUCCUGAAUUGGAGCGAUCCGAGCGGACUUACACCGCUUUUAAUAGGAUGAGCCAGAGAACUGAAUUUGAUUUUGACACCAAGGAAAUUCAGAAGUCUAUGUGCAAGAGGCCAGUCUUAUUUUUCUUGAAGGAUGUUUGGAAGGAUGGGAACAUAACCAGAGGCUCUUACAUAAGGUCAAGUGAACGGGAUGACCUCAAAAGGAAGGUGUUUUGCUUCAGGUCACCUCCUUUAUCUGGCAUAGAUGAGAUUCAAGUUUCUGCGUCCCCAUUAAGCAAAAGAUGGCAUCUGGCACCAAGAAGGUUAUGCAGUGCUGUGAAAGAAUCUAUUAAUGGUACUCUGUUUAUGUUUGUUCGGCAAUGUGGGCGCAGAGCAUUCGGCUCCGCUUCUGAUUCUCUUGAUUGA